CUGGGCGUUAAGUUGCAGGGUAUAGACCCGAAACCCGGUGAUCUAGCCAUGGGCAGGUUGAAGGUUGGGUAACACUAACUGGAGGACCGAACCGACUAAUGUUGAAAAAUUAGCGGAUGACUUGUGGCUGGGGGUGAAAGGCCAAUCAAACCGGGAGAUAGCUGGUUCUCCCCGAAAGCUAUUUAGGUAGCGCCUCGUGAAUUCAUCUCCGGGGGUAGAGCACUGUUUCGGCAAGGGGGUCAUCCCGACUUACCAACCCGAUGCAAACUGCGAAUACCGGAGAAUGUUAUCACGGGAGACACACGGCGGGUGCUAACGUCCGUCGUGAAGAGGGAAACAACCCAGACCGCCAGCUAAGGUCCCAAAGUCAUGGUUAAGUGGGAAACGAUGUGGGAAGGCCCAGACAGCCAGGAUGUUGGCUUAGAAGCAGCCAUCAUUUAAAGAAAGCGUAAUAGCUCACUGGUCGAGUCGGCCUGCGCGGAAGAUGUAACGGGGCUAAACCAUGCACCGAAGCUGCGGCAGCGACGCUGAUGCGUUGUUGGGUAGGGGAGCGUUCUGUAAGCCUGUGAAGGUGUGCUGUGAGGCAUGCUGGAGGUAUCAGAAGUGCGAAUGCUGACAUAAGUAACGAUAAAGCGGGUGAAAAGCCCGCUCGCCGGAAGACCAAGGGUUCCUGUCCAACGUUAAUCGGGGCAGGGUGAGUCGACCCCUAAGGCGAGGCCGAAAGGCGUAGUCGAUGGGAAACAGGUUAAUAUUCCUGUACUUGGUGUUACUGCGAAGGGGGGACGGAGAAGGCUAUGUUGGCCGGGCGACGGUUGUCCCGGUUUAAGCGUGUAGGCUGGUUUUCCAGGCAAAUCCGGAAAACUAAGGCUGAGGCGUGAUGACGAGGCACUACGGUGCUGAAGCAACAAAUGCCCUGCUUCCAGGAAAAGCCUCUAAGCAUCAGGUAACAUCAAAUCGUACCCCAAACCGACACAGGUGGUCAGGUAGAGAAUACCAAGGCGCUUGAGAGAACUCGGGUGAAGGAACUAGGCAAAAUGGUGCCGUAACUUCGGGAGAAGGCACGCUGAUAUGUAGGUGAAGUCCCUCGCGGAUGGAGCUGAAAUCAGUCGAAGAUACCAGCUGGCUGCAACUGUUUAUUAAAAACACAGCACUGUGCAAACACGAAAGUGGACGUAUACGGUGUGACGCCUGCCCGGUGCCGGAAGGUUAAUUGAUGGGGUUAGCGCAAGCGAAGCUCUUGAUCGAAGCCCCGGUAAACGGCGGCCGUAACUAUAACGGUCCUAAGGUAGCGAAAUUCCUUGUCGGGUAAGUUCCGACCUGCACGAAUGGCGUAAUGAUGGCCAGGCUGUCUCCACCCGAGACUCAGUGAAAUUGAACUCGCUGUGAAGAUGCAGUGUACCCGCGGCAAGACGGAAAGACCCCGUGAACCUUUACUAUAGCUUGACACUGAACAUUGAGCCUUGAUGUGUAGGAUAGGUGGGAGGCUUUGAAGUGUGGACGCCAGUCUGCAUGGAGCCGACCUUGAAAUACCACCCUUUAAUGUUUGAUGUUCUAACGUUGACCCGUAAUCCGGGUUGCGGACAGUGUCUGGUGGGUAGUUUGACUGGGGCGGUCUCCUCCUAAAGAGUAACGGAGGAGCACGAAGGUUGGCUAAUCCUGGUCGGACAUCAGGAGGUUAGUGCAAUGGCAUAAGCCAGCUUGACUGCGAGCGUGACGGCGCGAGCAGGUGCGAAAGCAGGUCAUAGUGAUCCGGUGGUUCUGAAUGGAAGGGCCAUCGCUCAACGGAUAAAAGGUACUCCGGGGAUAACAGGCUGAUACCGCCCAAGAGUUCAUAUCGACGGCGGUGUUUGGCACCUCGAUGUCGGCUCAUCACAUCCUGGGGCUGAAGUAGGUCCCAAGGGUAUGGCUGUUCGCCAUUUAAAGUGGUACGCGAGCUGGGUUUAGAACGUCGUGAGACAGUUCGGUCCCUAUCUGCCGUGGGCGCUGGAGAACUGAGGGGGGCUGCUCCUAGUACGAGAGGACCGGAGUGGACGCAUCACUGGUGUUCGGGUUGUCAUGCCAAUGGCACUGCCCGGUAGCUAAAUGCGGAAGAGAUAAGUGCUGAAAGCAUCUAAGCACGAAACUUGCCCCGAGAUGAGUUCUCCCUGACUCCUUGAGAGUCCUGAAGGAACGUUGAAGACGACGACGUUGAUAGGCCGGGUGUGUAAGCGCAGCGAUGCGUUGAGCUAACCGGUACUAAUGAACCGUGAG
Molecule: ribosomal RNA, 2250 nt
Filed under: Escherichia coli
Lineage: Bacteria; Pseudomonadati; Pseudomonadota; Gammaproteobacteria; Enterobacterales; Enterobacteriaceae
Description: partial 23S ribosomal RNA
Rfam family: Bacterial large subunit ribosomal RNA
Source: RNAcentral